This 76-nucleotide transfer RNA is filed under the name Paracoccaceae bacterium. RNAcentral's name for it is "Rhodobacteraceae bacterium (sponge metagenome) tRNA-Ala". It matches the Rfam family "tRNA". From Rfam's summary of the family: Transfer RNA (tRNA) molecules are approximately 80 nucleotides in length. Their secondary structure includes four short double-helical elements and three loops (D, anti-codon, and T loops). Lineage: Bacteria; Pseudomonadati; Pseudomonadota; Alphaproteobacteria; Rhodobacterales; Paracoccaceae. The record is from RNAcentral.
GGGGCCUUAGCUCAGUUGGGAGAGCGCUACAAUGGCAUUGUAGAGGUCAGGGGUUCGAAUCCCCUAGGCUCCACCA